CUGGGACCAAGGUAAACAUACAAGAAGUUGUGUUCACUUUCUUAGGACUCCAGAGAUCCAUUAUGUGGGCUAAGAUGUACAUUUAAUCAGCGUAGCUUAAAGGAUUGGAAGAAUUCAGGCGCCUUCCCGAAAGGCUGAUGUUUCCCCUGGGGAACGGCUUGCAUAUGGGGAUUAUUAUUGAGAAUCAUUACUUAACAAUUUGCUCUACCAAAUUCUGCAAUAACCAGAGACUAACUCUAAUGGAAGAUUGGGAGUGUUUUAAGAUAAUACCAUCUGCGAUUGCAGCCUUUAUUCUACAUGAUGUCUUUGCCUUCUUUGGGGGACUUCAUUUGUCCUGGACCACAGAACCACACAUUUUCUGAGUUGGAAGUGUUUCUGUCCUUUUAUUUUGCAUUUCUGUGAUAACCAUUGCCUCCUGUGCUCUGGAUUUUCCUGUCUUCUUCCCUUCACCUAUGUGUGUUCAGCGGGUGUCUCACAAAGGUAGGAAUCUGUAAAAGGCAGCCGGAUUUAAUCUGUCUUUGAAACCAUGGGGGGCUAUAAUAAAGUUCACUGCUGAGAGAAAUUACUCUGAGUGCUUCAAACAGGCAAUUCUAAGUACCUGAACGGUUUUUCUAUCACAGCAUUAUUAACAAGACCCUUCAAUACUCUUCUUGGCCAUUUUCUCCAUUUAGGGACAAGAUUGGGAAAAUCUGAGUCUCAGCUUUAGCUCUGCCAUCUAGAAUUAUUUCACCUUCUUGAGCCUCAGCGUCCUAACCUGUAAAAUGGGAAUAGUAACAGUGGACUUGCCUAUUUCAGUGUUGUUAUAAGGAACAAAUGAGAUAUAUGUCAACAUACUUGUAAACCAUAUUCUGUAGAUGUAAGCUGUUAAUAUUGCUAUGACUACCCAUGGAUUGAGAUACAAGUGGUUGUUUUCCUUUCAGCUCUCUUCUUAUGACAAGUGGUCAUUUCAAGCAUGAGGACUUGGCUCAGAUGGUGUAGAAACAUGCUGCUGAAUGUCAGUAACACCUCUGGACUUCAUUCAUUCACAAAAGUGAAGAAGAACACCACCAAAUUCAGGAACUUUGCAUGAGGAGUUCUAUUAAUGUCAUGUCUUGUCUACUUCCUGAGAGAAGACAGUUGAGAACUUCUAGAAUUCUAAUCAGUGAUAUCUUACCUAUUUUUAAAGGACUAACUUUAGAACUGAGGACUUUGUAAAUAAGAAGUAAAUUAUCCAAAAGGUAAAAUGUAACAGUUAAGAGUUUGGGCUUUGG
RNAcentral lists this long non-coding RNA (1250 nucleotides) under Macaca fascicularis (crab-eating macaque). RNAcentral's name for it is "lncRNA (ENSMFAG00000063801.1)". The record is from RNAcentral. Lineage: Eukaryota; Metazoa; Chordata; Mammalia; Primates; Cercopithecidae.